UUCUCUUCCUGCGUCCUUCUUUCCGCUUCAACCCGCCUGUGAGAAGACUGGCUAAAACUGGUUUCGUGAACAGUAGACUACAGCAGCACGUGGUGAAUACUCUUGCAGACUCGUGGGCAUGGCGAAAGCUACUGAACUAAAAGGAAAUUCUUCGGCAUCUCUAUGCUGUUUGAAAUGUGUAGUAACCAACGUAUGCAGAAUGGUUUUGGGUGACUGAUCCUCCUGUGAAUGGACUGGGCAAUCAGGCUCCAGAACAAAAUGUGGGAGAAUAAUCCUGUGAAUUAAUGCAUAAUUUAUAUCUGAGGCUUGAAGCUUGUCCUAAUGGUGUGAUCUGAAGGAUGUCCACUAGAAGGCGCAACACCCCUUUUUGUUGACUGCCGGUGUGUGAGAGGUCCUAUAUGAUUAGAUUGAAAAAUAAAUGUUGGCAGCUGAUCGUUCUUCCCGUACUGCAAGUUGAAAAGUUUGGCGUUGGAGUGAAGGGUUUCCCAGCCAGACAUUUCUUGGAAGUUGGUGCUGCUGAUGAGAUUAUACUACAGAGGAAAUUCGUAAAACUUCUCCUGAGUGUUUUGUAUUGAUUUGUAGUUUUCAAUAAAGUACAAUGUGUGGUUGAA
Molecule: long non-coding RNA, 611 nt
Organism: Carassius gibelio (silver crucian carp)
Lineage: Eukaryota; Metazoa; Chordata; Actinopteri; Cypriniformes; Cyprinidae
Exons: 9
Source: RefSeq, a predicted model, not a curated record